Molecule: ribosomal RNA, 1894 nt
Filed under: Aenictus eugenii
Lineage: Eukaryota; Metazoa; Arthropoda; Insecta; Hymenoptera; Formicidae
Description: eukaryotic LSU rRNA
Rfam family: Eukaryotic large subunit ribosomal RNA
Source: RNAcentral
UAAUAAGCGGAGGAAAAGAAACUAACAAGGAUUUCCUCAGUAGCGGCGAGCGAACAGGAAAGAGCCCAGCACCGAAUCCCGCGGUUCCGCCGCAGGGAGUUGUGGUGUUCGGGAGGAUCCGCUUAUCCCUUGGCGUCGCGCCGCGUCCAAGUCCAUCUUGAACGAGGCGAUUCAUCCGCAGAGGGUGCCAGACCCGUAGCGACCGAUGCGCGCCUCGGGAGGAUCUCUCCUUAGAGUCGGGUUGCUUGAGAGUGCAGCUCUAAGUGGGUGGUAAACUCCAUCUAAGGCUAAAUACAACCACGAGACCGAUAGCGAACAAGUACCGUGAGGGAAAGUUGAAAAGAACUUUGAAGAGAGAGUUAAAGAGUACGUGAAACCGUUCAGGGGUAAACCCGAGAAACCCAAAAGUUCGAACGGGGAGAUUCAUCGUCAGCGCCGCUGGCUUCGCGUCGGUCGGCGAUGCCGGCGCGGGUCCGCCGUGUCUCGCCACGGCUCCCGCGCUGGCACGCCGCUGUGCGCCGAUGCCCGGCGCGCGUCGUCGUGCACUUCUCCCCCAGUAGGACGUCGCGACCCGCUGGGUGCCGGUCUACGGCCCGGGACGGACGGCUGCAACGUCGCCGGUGAAACGGCACGCGGCAAGCCCCCGGUCGCCCGGCCGGCUGCCCGGCGGUACGGUUAGAAACGGUACGAGGCCGCGCCCUCGGGCGCGUCGAGCCCGUCGCAAGCGAGCGCCACGGUACCCGGAGGCUACGGACCCAGUGCCGUCCCCGGUCCUGGCCCGCUGUUGGCAGUACGGUGCACCUUCGACAGGCCUGCGAGGCGCGCGCGCGCGCGUGUGGUGUCCCGCUCGUCCUCCGUGGCGUGAGGGCCCGCGCGCGCGCGCGGCGGCACAUACCGGUCGGCGACGCUACCGCUUUGGGUACUCUCGGGACCCGUCUUGAAACACGGACCAAGGAGUCUAACAUGUACGCGAGUCAUUGGGACGAGCGAUACCCAGAGGCGCAAUGAAAGUGAAGGUCGGCCCUAACCCGGCCGACCGUGGGAGGAUGGGCCGCGUCGCGAUGCGGCCCCGCACUCCCGGGGCGUCUCGCCCUCAUCGCGAGGAGAGGCGCACCCAGAGCGUACACGUUGGGACCCGAAAGAUGGUGAACUAUGCCUGGUCAGGACGAAGUCAGGGGAAACCCUGAUGGAGGUCCGUAGCGAUUCUGACGUGCAAAUCGAUCGUCGGAACUGGGUAUAGGGGCGAAAGACUAAUCGAACCAUCUAGUAGCUGGUUCCCUCCGAAGUUUCCCUCAGGAUAGCUGGCACUCGGCCGUUCCCCGGCGGAACGCGAACGAGUCUCAUCCGGUAAAGCGAAUGAUUAGAGGCCUUGGGGCCGAAACGACCUCAACCUAUUCUCAAACUUUAAAUGGGUGAGAUCUCUGGCUUUCUUGAACAGUGAAGCCACGAGAACGAUCGGAUCAGAGUGCCAAGUGGGCCAUUUUUGGUAAGCAGAACUGGCGCUGUGGGAUGAACCAAACGCAGAGUUAAGGCGCCCAACUCGACGCUCAUGGGACACCAUGAAAGGCGUUGGUUGCUUAAGACAGCAGGACGGUGGCCAUGGAAGUCGGAAUCCGCUAAGGAGUGUGUAACAACUCACCUGCCGAAGCAACUAGCCCUGAAAAUGGAUGGCGCUGAAGCGUCGAGCCUAUACUCUGCCGUCAGCGGCAAGUGGGGCGGCCGCCGCCGCAUCCGCGCGCGGUGGUCGUCACGAGGCCCUGACGAGUAGGAGGGUCGCGGCGGUGCGCGCAGAAGGGUCUGGGCGCGAGCCUGCCUGGAGCCGCCGUCGGUGCAGAUCUUGGUGGUAGUAGCAAAUACUCCAGCGAGGCCCUGGAGGACUGACGUGGAGAAGGGU